Molecule: non-coding RNA, 45 nt
Filed under: Schistosoma margrebowiei
Lineage: Eukaryota; Metazoa; Platyhelminthes; Trematoda; Strigeidida; Schistosomatidae
Source: RNAcentral
AUCCAGUUGACGAGUGCCAAAUAGGAUGAAACGCGCGUGCUGGAU